RNAcentral lists this ribosomal RNA (815 nucleotides) under Escherichia coli. RNAcentral's name for it is "bacterial LSU rRNA". It matches the Rfam family "Bacterial large subunit ribosomal RNA", at positions 398 to 1214 of the family's 2925-position model. The record is from RNAcentral. Lineage: Bacteria; Pseudomonadati; Pseudomonadota; Gammaproteobacteria; Enterobacterales; Enterobacteriaceae.
UGUGAGCUCGAUGAGUAGGGCGGGACACGUGGUAUCCUGUCUGAAUAUGGGGGGACCAUCCUCCAAGGCUAAAUACUCCUGACUGACCGAUAGUGAACCAGUACCGUGAGGGAAAGGCGAAAAGAACCCCGGCGAGGGGAGUGAAAAAGAACCUGAAACCGUGUACGUACAAGCAGUGGGAGCACGCUUAGGCGUGUGACUGCGUACCUUUUGUAUAAUGGGUCAGCGACUUAUAUUCUGUAGCAAGGUUAACCGAAUAGGGGAGCCGAAGGGAAACCGAGUCUUAACUGGGCGUUAAGUUGCAGGGUAUAGACCCGAAACCCGGUGAUCUAGCCAUGGGCAGGUUGAAGGUUGGGUAACACUAACUGGAGGACCGAACCGACUAAUGUUGAAAAAUUAGCGGAUGACUUGUGGCUGGGGGUGAAAGGCCAAUCAAACCGGGAGAUAGCUGGUUCUCCCCGAAAGCUAUUUAGGUAGCGCCUCGUGAAUUCAUCUCCGGGGGUAGAGCACUGUUUCGGCAAGGGGGUCAUCCCGACUUACCAACCCGAUGCAAACUGCGAAUACCGGAGAAUGUUAUCACGGGAGACACACGGCGGGUGCUAACGUCCGUCGUGAAGAGGGAAACAACCCAGACCGCCAGCUAAGGUCCCAAAGUCAUGGUUAAGUGGGAAACGAUGUGGGAAGGCCCAGACAGCCAGGAUGUUGGCUUAGAAGCAGCCAUCAUUUAAAGAAAGCGUAAUAGCUCACUGGUCGAGUCGGCCUGCGCGGAAGAUGUAACGGGGCUAAACCAUGCACCGAAGCUGCGGCAGCGACAC